Molecule: ribosomal RNA, 857 nt
Filed under: Lyomyces erastii
Lineage: Eukaryota; Fungi; Basidiomycota; Agaricomycetes; Hymenochaetales; Schizoporaceae
Description: partial large subunit ribosomal RNA
Rfam family: Eukaryotic large subunit ribosomal RNA
Source: RNAcentral
UAACAAGGAUUCCCCUAGUAACUGCGAGUGAAGCGGGAUGAGCUCAAAUUUAAAAUCUGGCAGUUUCACUGUCCGAGUUGUAAUCUAGAGAAGCAUUUUCCGUGUUGGACCGUGUACAAGUCUCUUGGAAUAGAGCGUCAUAGAGGGUGAGAAUCCCGUCCAUGGCACGGACUACCAAUACUUUGUGAUAUGCUCUCAAAGAGUCGAGUUGUUUGGGAAUGCAGCUCAAAACGGGUGGUAAGUUCCAUCUAAAGCUAAAUAUUGGCGAGAGACCGAUAGCGAACAAGUACCGUGAGGGAAAGAUGAAAAGCACUUUGGAAAGAGAGUUAAACAGUACGUGAAAUUGUUGAAAGGGAAACACUUGAAGUCAGUCGCGUUGUCUGAGACUCAGCCUUGCUUUUGCAUGGUGUACUUCUUAGUUAACGGGUCAACAUCAAUUUUGGCCGGUGGAUAAAGGUUGAGGGAAUGUGGCAUCUUCGGAUGUGUUAUAGCCCUUCUCCGUAUACACUGUCUGGGAUUGAGGUCUGCAGCACGCCUUUAUGGCCGGGGUUCGCCCACGUACGUGCUUAGGAUGUUGGCAUAAUGGCUUUAAGUGACCCGUCUUGAAACACGGACCAAGGAGUCUAACAUGCUUGCGAGUAUUAGAGUGGAAAACUCUUAUGCGUAAUGAAAGUGAAAGUUGGGACCCAUCACUGGGGCACCGACGCCCGGCCCUGAUGUUUACUGACGGUGCUGCGGUAGAGCACGUAUGUUGGGACCCGAAAGAUGGUGAACUAUGCCUGAUAGGGUGAAGCCAGGGGAAACUCUGGUGGAGGCUCGUAGCGAUUCUGACGUGCAAAUCGAUCGUCAAAUUUGGG